AUACGUUCCCGGGCCUUGUACACACCGCCCGUCAAGCCAUGGAAGCUGGGGGUGCCUGAAGUCGGUGACCGCAAGGAGCUGCCUAGGGUAAAACUGGUAACUAGGGCUAAGUCGUAACAAGGUAGCCGUACCGGAAGGUGCGGCUGGAACACCUCCUUUCUAGAGC
This 166-nucleotide ribosomal RNA is filed under the name Flavobacterium sp. JRM. RNAcentral's name for it is "partial 16S ribosomal RNA". It matches the Rfam family "Bacterial small subunit ribosomal RNA", at positions 1366 to 1533 of the family's 1533-position model. The record is from RNAcentral. Lineage: Bacteria; Pseudomonadati; Bacteroidota; Flavobacteriia; Flavobacteriales; Flavobacteriaceae.